Long non-coding RNA from Astatotilapia calliptera (eastern happy), 1236 nucleotides. The record is from Ensembl. Lineage: Eukaryota; Metazoa; Chordata; Actinopteri; Cichliformes; Cichlidae.
GCCCUUAUGGCUAUGGGACAGAUCAGGAGGUUGAAGGAUGAUGAAGUGUUAAGAUGCCAGAUCCCUGAAAGAAAGCCGGGUGAUAGUAGAGAGAAAGAAGCGGGAGCAGAGGGAGAAGAAAAAGGAAUGGGAGGUAUGGGAUUUAAAACAGUUCUCAUGCAACAUGCCAAGUAUUAGGCUGGGGCACGCAGUCUAUGACCUCACAGCGAGGUAGAGCCUCUCAACAGUCUCACUGCAUCAGCCCCUCCGCUUUUGUGGUUUUGUUUGGGACGGAUCAAGAAAGCCCAAAUUGAGCACAGAACAUGGAGGUGGGAUGGCAGCCCGAAAAUUAACUGAAGUCGGCCAAGCGCUUGUGGUCGUCUAGUCAGGUCAGCACUGGUCAAGGCAGAACAUUGCCCCAUCCAUCCAGUAAAGCAGGCUUACCCUUGUUUUCUGGCAUGACUGCGUCACAAAGAGAAGCCCCUGUUUCUGACCCAGAGCCUUUGUCUUUGAAACCUUUUUGGACAAAGCUGCCAUGCUGCAGUAGUGGUGCAGACCCUGGACCUGGAACAAGAAUCACAGCCAACAGCUUUUGAGGUGGAACCACUGCUCAAGCCCCGCACUAAUGUGAAAAGUAAGGCUGGAUGUGAGAGCAAGUAGAAGGACCAUUUUGGGAUUAAGGAACUGUACUCUUAGUGGAUAAAGUGAGGCAACCUCACAUCAUGCUGAGGCAAAAAUGGGAAAAUGAUUACAAAAAAAAAAAAAACCGCUACGUAAGUUGAAUAUACAGUUUAUUUUAACCUAAAUCUCAUUCCACUGACAGAGAGACUGGAAGGGGUUUUUCUCACAAUUGCUGUCUCAUUUUUUGAUUCACAACUGGGAAAUACAUGACUGUCAGUUACUGUUUGUGUUCUCAUCAAAUAUUGUGUAUCUUCUCUUGUAUUAUUUGUAGGGCAGGUCCACACACAAACAAUGUUCAGCGGGCCUGUGUGACGCAACUGCAAAGUGCACUCUGAACAUGAUGCUUGAUUUUGCUCCUCUCCCACAGAGCUGAAAUUUAUCCAGCAGCAAUGUCAGCUAGCCAGGAUGCUAAACAGUCCCAGGUGCUGUCAGAGCUAAGCUAACACAAUAGGCCCACCUAAACUGUAAGGCCUUUGGUUUUACCUCAAGCUGCAGGCACCUCUCACUUAAGCAUCCAAACUAUAACAUGAAAGUAAUGGGCUAAGUAACUGAGCUAACCUUUGUGCACUCAUACCC